AACGAACGCUGGCGGCAUGCCUAACACAUGCAAGUCGAACGAGACCUUCGGGUCUAGUGGCGCACGGGUGCGUAACGCGUGGGAACCUGCCCUUAGGUUCGGAAUAACUCCCCGAAAGGGGUGCUAAUACCGGUUAAUGUCUUCGGACCAAAGAUUUAUCGCCUUUGGAUGGGCCCGCGUUGGAUUAGCUAGUUGGUAGGGUAAAAGCCUACCAAGGCGACGAUCCAGAGCUGGUCUGAGAGGAUGAUCAGCCACACUGGGACUGAGACACGGCCCAGACUCCUACGGGAGGCAGCAGUGGGGAAUAUUGGACAAUGGGCGAAAGCCUGAUCCAGCAAUGCCGCGUGAGUGAUGAAGGCCUUAGGGUUGUAAAGCUCUUUUACACGGGAUGAUAAUGACAGUACCGGGAGAAUAAGCUCCGGCUAACUCCGUG
RNAcentral lists this ribosomal RNA (433 nucleotides) under uncultured bacterium. RNAcentral describes it as "partial 16S ribosomal RNA". It matches the Rfam family "Bacterial small subunit ribosomal RNA", at positions 29 to 507 of the family's 1533-position model. The record is from RNAcentral.